Molecule: long non-coding RNA, 709 nt
Organism: Felis catus (domestic cat)
Lineage: Eukaryota; Metazoa; Chordata; Mammalia; Carnivora; Felidae
Exons: 2
Source: RefSeq, a predicted model, not a curated record
AGAAGGCGGUAUUUAUUGAGCAUGGCCUGGGUGCGUUUCAGCAGCUGCGUGGAGACCGUCUGAAACUCCUCAUCCACUAAGGAAGAAGAGACGAGGUCCAGAGGCACAGACGCUGGGGGGGCGGGGCUCGCGCUGAUCCUCCCCACGCCCCUCCCCACGCUAGAGACCAGAAGGAGACCGGCGGGUGAGAGGUAUCGGCACAGAGAGGCCUGCCCUCGGCGCCCGGACCCCCUUUCUACCUGGCCCUUGGCAAAGGUGAGCGGGCCCAUGCCCCCCCGCCCGACCCCCCGCGAUGGGGUCCCGGGCCUGGGACGGGACGUGCCGCCUGUCACCCCGAACCUGCCUGGCUCUCUCCCGCCCCUUCUCCAGCGUGGGUAUCGGCCUCCCCCUGACCCUGCUGACUGUCCGGAGUGGCCCCCACUUCCCUCUUGGCCACCGGCGGCGAUCUGGCCUCCGAGGCCUUCCCAGACACUGGCACCCUGGUCCCUCCACCGGCUGUGUUCUUGCCUUCCCUCCUCCCCCCUCCGCCCUGCACUUCCUGCAGACCGUCUCUGCCUCAGUCUCCCCCACACUGCUCUGCCCCCCUCCAGUCUGGCCCCCCCAUGGCACGACUCCCCGACCCUUCCCUCCUCCUCCAGCCUCAACCUCUCCCGGCUGCCGCCCCCUGGGACCCACUCGGGCCAUCACUCCUGUCAUCACGCUGUCUCGG